AACGAACGCUGGCGGCAUGCCUAACACAUGCAAGUCGAACGAGACCUUCGGGUCUAGUGGCGCACGGGUGCGUAACGCGUGGGAACCUGCCCUUAGGUUCGGAAUACCUCCCCGAAAGGGGUGCUAAUACCGGUUAAUGUCUUCGGACCAAAGAUUUAUGGCCUUUGGAUGGGCCCGCGUUGGAUUAGCUAGUUGGUAGGGUAAAAGCCUGCCAAGGAGACGAUGCAGAGCUGGUCGGAGAGGAGGAUCAGCCACACUGGAACUGAGACACGGCCCAGAAUGCGACGGGAGGGAGGAGUGGAGAAUAUUAGAGGAGGAGGGAAAGUCCAAUAAAGCAACGCCGGGUGAGAGAGGAAGGGGUUAGGAUUGUAAAGCCGUUUGAGACGAGAUGAGAAUGACAGUACCGGGAGAAGAAGCACCGGCUAACUACGUG
RNAcentral lists this ribosomal RNA (433 nucleotides) under uncultured bacterium. RNAcentral's name for it is "partial 16S ribosomal RNA". It matches the Rfam family "Bacterial small subunit ribosomal RNA", at positions 29 to 507 of the family's 1533-position model. The record is from RNAcentral.